CUAAUCUGUGUUACAAACAGGUGCUGAAAAAUGUACAUUAUCAGAAAAUAAUCAUUAAAUGUGUUUUAAAGUUACACCGGAUCAAUUAAAUCCAAAACAUGCACUGCUGGUGAACUGUGAUCAAAAUGUCAAUUUCCUACAAUGACAAAAGAAAUUACAUUGUGUGCAUUCCGUCUCUAUACAUGUUGUCUGUUCAACGUCCCCACCUAAAGAGAAAUAAAAAGACUAAGUUUUCGUUAUUAUAAACCCAAGUCACGUGAUGUCUCCUCAAUCUGGCGCGCGCUGUACCUAAAAUAAAAUAAAAACUUUCCAAACUAAACAUGAAACUUCUCCGGUAACAAUAAUAUAGACCCCAUACAGAAACAAACAAACAAACAAACAAACAAACAAACAACCCCCCUCCCCAUUCAAUCAAUUUCAAGUGGGGGAAGACCGCCUACAAUUGCUUUUUAAAAGCAAUUGAUUUAUAUUUUUUUUU
Molecule: long non-coding RNA, 478 nt
Filed under: Mytilus galloprovincialis (Mediterranean mussel)
Lineage: Eukaryota; Metazoa; Mollusca; Bivalvia; Mytilida; Mytilidae
Source: RNAcentral